Molecule: ribosomal RNA, 730 nt
Filed under: uncultured bacterium
Lineage: Bacteria
Description: bacterial SSU rRNA
Rfam family: Bacterial small subunit ribosomal RNA
Source: RNAcentral
GCUUACCAUGCAGUCGAACGAAGUUUUUAACUUUAGUGGCGAACGGGUGCGUAAUACGUGAGAAUCUGCCCUUAGGAGGAGGAUAACUACUGGAAACGGUUGCUAACACUCCAUAUGUCGAGAGAUGAAAUAACUUUGUUGCCUAAGGAUGAGCUCACGCCUGAUUAGCUAGUUGGUGAGGUAAUUGCUCACCAAGGCCACGAUCAGUAGCUGGUUUGAGAGAACGAUCAGCCACACUGGGACUGAGACACGGCCCAGACUCCUCCGGGAGGCAGCAGUGAGGAAUUUUCCGCAAUGGGCGAAAGCCUGACGGAGCAAUACCGCGUGAGGGAUGAAGGAUUUUGGUCUGUAAACCUCUUUUCUCAAGAAAGAAGUCCUGACGGUACUUGAGGAAUAAGCAUCGGCUAACUCCGUGCCAGCAGCCGCGGUAAUACGGGGGAUGCAAGCGUUAUCCGGAAUUAUUGGGCGUAAAGCGCCUGUAGGUUGUUUAAUAAGUCUGUUGUUAAAGACUAGGGCUCAACCCUAGAAUAGCAAUGGAAACUACUAGACUAGAGUAUGGCAGGGGUAGAGGGAAUUUCUAGUGUAGCGGUGAAAUGCGUAGAUAUUAGAAAGAACACCGGUGGCUAGAGCGCUCUACUGCACCAUUACUGACGCUCACAGGCGAAAGCUAGUUUAGCGCGUGAGAUUAGAUACUGCUGUAGUCGUACCCGUACACGAUGCCUACUAUAUG